UUCUGUGACGUCAUUUAGUCCUUUUUAGAAUUUCAUCGCAGCAAGCAAGCUGUUUAAAUUUUGUAAGCGGUAAACUUGAAAAUUGAAAUGGUAAAGUAAACUAGUGUAAGAAUUUGUAUGGUUAUAACCUGACUCAUGCUUCUAAUGUUUAUUAGAAGUAAUCUUAGAAAGAAUUCGUUUUAUCGAUCGUCAUUUUUUGAACCAUAUUGCAUCGCCACGUGGAGAGCACAUGUAAAGACUGAAUGAGAAAUUGGUCCCAUGAAUGGAUUAUUCGUUUUCAUUUUUAUAAUUAUUUAAUUUUUACAAGUGUGAGUAAUUAGAUGCAACAUUGUCCUAAGAUUUGCAGAUUAUAAUCAUGUUUACCAUGCGUCAUUGUAUAUUUCUACAUAAAAUUAGAUGCACGACGAGUUUAAUUUGUUUUUAUUUUAAUUUUUUUAUAUAUUACUUUUUCCCCAUAUCUUAUACUAUUGAAAUUGAGUAUUGACAGAUCGUCUAGUGCCUAUGGUGUCAGUGCUAUGGGUAAGCCUAACAAAUUGUAUUUGCGCUGUAACAGAUCAUGCAGGUUAGUAACGUGUCUUUAAUGAUUAUGUGUUGUGGGGCAGGUGUUAUUUAAUGAACUCCCGAAAACUUCCGAAUUAAAAGUAAAUUUUCCUUAAGAGGGUAUACAUCGGUAAUUGUGUAUCUAGAUCUUUCAUAGCACAUAUACAGCAAAUAUUCCAUGAAAGGAUAUGAACGUAAAAGGGACGUACUCUUUGGGGCGAAGGACCCAGGUUCGUAACCGGAAGUUCAACUUUCGAUACAAAUAAACAAAAAUCUUGGAAAUCUUGAACAGAGACCAUACCCGGAGUUAAGAAGCAGUUGGUAGAUUUAAGCAAAUAUUAUCAUUAUCUGUAUAUAUCCGGCUAUAAAUUUUGCGUGUACCUACACAUUUGUGUACUAAAAAUUGUCAAGAGUCGUUCAUCACAGUGACAUGUAUACAUUUUUUAGUUGCUACUACUCUCUAGCCUAGACUAGGUCGAUAUGGUAUGAAUAGUUCAGUUAAAUCAAGAAUUUAGCCAUAUGUAAACAGGCCACAGCUUGAAUUAUUGUUGUAAUAACUCAAUUAUAUACUAAUAUUACACUAUGUUACUAUCAACUGACUAUGGAUUUAAGUUUAAUAAAUAUAUAAAUC
RNAcentral lists this long non-coding RNA (1171 nucleotides) under Mytilus galloprovincialis (Mediterranean mussel). Lineage: Eukaryota; Metazoa; Mollusca; Bivalvia; Mytilida; Mytilidae. The record is from RNAcentral.